GUGCCAGCAGCCGCGGUAACACGUAGGGCGCAAGCGUUGUCCGGAAUUAUUGGGCGUAAAGAGCUCGUAGGCGGUUUGUUACGUCCGCUGUGAAAACCCAGGGCUUAACCCUGGGCUUGCAGUGGAUACGGGCAGACUAGAGGUAGGUAGGGGAGAAUGGAAUUCCCGGUGUAGCGGUGAAAUGCGCAGAUAUCGUGAGGAAGACCAGUGGCGAAGGCGGAUCUCUGGACAGCUCCUGACGCUGAGGCGCGAAAGCGUGGGUAGCAAACAGGAUUAGAAACCCCCGUAGUCC
RNAcentral lists this ribosomal RNA (292 nucleotides) under uncultured bacterium. RNAcentral describes it as "partial 16S ribosomal RNA". It matches the Rfam family "Bacterial small subunit ribosomal RNA", at positions 505 to 796 of the family's 1533-position model. The record is from RNAcentral.